GAGGCUCCACUGCUCUUCCUGGGAUCAACUGUUCCUAGAAGAGAAGCAGGACCCUCUCUCACCCCACCCCCAACCUUGACUGUCACCAAAGAAGAAGCCAGAGAGGGGAGCCCCCCACUACUGUGGCCUAGGAGCUUGGAAGACAAUACUGAGACAGACACCUGUGCUGUGGGCUCCCCAAAUCUGCCAGCAAAGGACUCUCGAGGAUUCAAGGACUCAGUGACCAAGGAGCUGCAAACAGCCCGGCCAAGCAGGGAGCAGACUUAGAGGACACCACACUCCCGUCCCCUCCCUGAUGCCAAAGAAGCAUGGCUGUGAGGCUCCAGGAGGUUUCUGGAAAGCACCUGCAACUCCCCUCCCAUCAGUUCAAGAACAGAGAUCACACAGGUUUGCAUCAACC
This 400-nucleotide long non-coding RNA is filed under the name Homo sapiens (human). RNAcentral's name for it is "HSALNT0388893". Lineage: Eukaryota; Metazoa; Chordata; Mammalia; Primates; Hominidae. The record is from RNAcentral.